Non-coding RNA from Mus musculus (house mouse), 352 nucleotides. Lineage: Eukaryota; Metazoa; Chordata; Mammalia; Rodentia; Muridae. The record is from the annotation of a RefSeq genome assembly.
AUGAACAAGUGGGUUUUCUGCUGGGUAACCCUUUGUCUCCUUACUGUAGAGACCACACAUGGUGAUGGUGGCAUCAUUACUCAGACACCCAAAUUCCUGAUUGGUCAGGAAGGGCAAAAACUGACCUUGAAAUGUCAACAGAAUUUCAAUCAUGAUACAAUGUACUGGUACCGACAGGAUUCAGGGAAAGGAUUGAGACUGAUCUACUAUUCAAUAACUGAAAACGAUCUUCAAAAAGGCGAUCUAUCUGAAGGCUAUGAUGCGUCUCGAGAGAAGAAGUCAUCUUUUUCUCUCACUGUGACAUCUGCCCAGAAGAACGAGAUGGCCGUUUUUCUCUGUGCCAGCAGUAUAG